UUCUCUUGUCCUUCAUUCCACCGGAGUCUGUCUCAUACCCAACCAGAUUUCAGUGGAGUGAAGUUCAGGAGGCG
This 74-nucleotide microRNA precursor is filed under the name Tursiops truncatus (common bottlenose dolphin). Its description in RNAcentral is "mir-205 microRNA precursor family". It matches the Rfam family "mir-205 microRNA precursor family". RNAcentral also lists the same sequence under 15 other names. Lineage: Eukaryota; Metazoa; Chordata; Mammalia; Artiodactyla; Delphinidae. The record is from Rfam by way of RNAcentral.